UACGAAGGGGGCUAGCGUUGUUCGGAAUUACUGGGCGUAAAGGGCGCGUAGGCUGUGCUGUAAGUCAGGCGUGAAAGCCCCGGGCUCAACCUGGGAAUUGCGCUUGAUACUGCGGCGCUGGAAGGUGGGAGAGGAUGGCGGAAUUCCCGGUGUAGAGGUGAAAUUCGUAGAUAUUGGGAAGAACACCGGUGGCGAAGGCGGCUCUCUGGACCGACACUGACGCUGAGGCGCGAAAGCGUGGGGAGCAAACAGG
This 253-nucleotide ribosomal RNA is filed under the name uncultured bacterium. RNAcentral's name for it is "partial 16S ribosomal RNA". It matches the Rfam family "Bacterial small subunit ribosomal RNA", at positions 524 to 776 of the family's 1533-position model. The record is from RNAcentral.